GACGAACGCUGGCGGCGUGCUUAACACAUGCAAGUCGAACGGAAAGGCCCUGCUUUUGUGGGGUGCUCGAGUGGCGAACGGGUGAGUAACACGCGAGUAACCUGCCCUUGACUUUGGGAUAACUUCAGGAAACUGGGGCUAAUACCGGAUAGGAGCUCCUGCUGCAUGGUGGGGGUUGGAAAGUUUCGGCGGUUGGGGAUGGACUCGCGGCUUAGCAGCUUGUUGGUGGGGUAGUGGCUUACCAAGGCUUUGACGGGUAGCCGGCGUGCGAGGGUGACCGGCCACAUUGGGACUGAGAUACGGCCCAGACUCCUACGGGAGGCAGCAGUGGGGAAUAUUGCGCACUGGGCGGAAGCCUGAUGCAGCAACGCCGCGUGCGGGAUGACGGCCUUCGGGUUGUAAACCGCUUUCGCCUGUGACGAAGCGUGAGUGACGGUAAUGGGUAAAGAAGCACCGGCUAACUACGUG
Molecule: ribosomal RNA, 468 nt
Filed under: uncultured bacterium
Lineage: Bacteria
Description: partial 16S ribosomal RNA
Rfam family: Bacterial small subunit ribosomal RNA
Source: RNAcentral